AACGAACGCUGGCGGCAGGCCUAACACAUGCAAGUCGAACGAGACCUUCGGGUAGCUUGGCUCACGGGUGCGUAACGCGUGGCAACCUGCCCUUAGCUUGGGAAUAACCCCCCGGAAGGGGUUCUCAUACCGGAACAGUUCCUCAUACCACAUAUUGUUCGCCUUUGAAGGGGCCGGCCUUUCGUUACCUGGUUGGUAGGGUAAAACCCUACCAGGGCGACGAGACAUAGCUGGUCUGAGAGGAUGAUCAGACACACUGACACUGAGAAGCGGCCCAGACUAUUGCGGGAGGCAGCAGUGGGGAAUGUUGGAAUGUCGGGUGAAGGCUGAUGCAGUAAUGCCGCGUGAGUGAUGACGGCCGUGGGGUUGUAAAGCUCUUUUACCCCGGAUGAUAAUGACAGUACCGGGAGAAGAAGCUCCGGCUAACUCCGUG
Molecule: ribosomal RNA, 433 nt
Filed under: uncultured bacterium
Lineage: Bacteria
Description: partial 16S ribosomal RNA
Rfam family: Bacterial small subunit ribosomal RNA
Source: RNAcentral